GGGGAUAUUAAGGGGGUGUGUCGUGCGGUCUAUCAUGCAGUCGAGCGGACCGACGGGAGCUUGCUCCCUUAGGUCAGCGGCGGACGGGUGAGUAACACGUGGGUAACCUGCCUGUAAGACUGGGAUAACUCCGGGAAACCGGGGCUAAUACCGGAUGCUUGAUUGAACCGCAUGGUUCAAUCAUAAAAGGUGGCUUUUAGCUACCACUUACAGAUGGACCCGCGGCGCAUUAGCUAGUUGGUGAGGUAACGGCUCACCAAGGCGACGAUGCGUAGCCGACCUGAGAGGGUGAUCGGCCACACUGGGACUGAGACACGGCCCAGACUCCUACGGGAGGCAGCAGUAGGGAAUCUUCCGCAAUGGACGAAAGUCUGACGGAGCAACGCCGCGUGAGUGAUGAAGGUUUUCGGAUCGUAAAACUCUGUUGUUAGGGAAGAACAAGUACCGUUCGAAUAGGGCGGCACCUUGACGGUACCUAACCAGAAAGCCACGGCUAACUACGUGCCAGCAGCCGCGGUAAUACGUAGGUGGCAAGCGUUGUCCGGAAUUAUUGGGCGUAAAGCGCGCGCAGGCGGUUUCUUAAGUCUGAUGUGAAAGCCCCCGGCUCAACCGGGGAGGGUCAUUGGAAACUGGGGAACUUGAGUGCAGAAGAGGAGAGUGGAAUUCCACGUGUAGCGGUGAAAUGCGUAGAGAUGUGGAGGAACACCAGUGGCGAAGGCGACUCUCUGGUCUGUAACUGACGCUGAGGCGCGAAAGCGUGGGGAGCGAACAGGAUUAGAUACCCUGGUAGUCCACGCCGUAAACGAUGAGUGCUAAGUGUUAGAGGGUUUCCGCCCUUUAGUGCUGCAGCAAACGCAUUAAGCACUCCGCCUGGGGAGUACGGUCGCAAGACUGAAACUCAAAGGAAUUGACGGGGGCCCGCACAAGCGGUGGAGCAUGUGGUUUAAUUCGAAGCAACGCGAAGAACCUUACCAGUCUUGACAUCCUCUGACAACCCUAGAGAUAGGGCUUCCCCUUCC
This 1019-nucleotide ribosomal RNA is filed under the name Bacillus licheniformis. RNAcentral describes it as "bacterial SSU rRNA". It matches the Rfam family "Bacterial small subunit ribosomal RNA", at positions 1 to 1022 of the family's 1533-position model. The record is from RNAcentral. Lineage: Bacteria; Bacillati; Bacillota; Bacilli; Caryophanales; Bacillaceae.